GAAACUCACCCACAUAAAUCUCCAUAUUACGUCGGAACUAAAAACCGCCACGAGUCCUAGCUAGAGCCUCACUUUCAGAUCUUCGCCGUUGAUAGUGAUUAUUCGAAAGACCCUAACCCCCUAUUGGCUGAUUCGAACGAUCCGCCUCCGUCAACGGUUGAAACAUUUCUCCUAUUCUUCUCCAAUUUCAGAAAGCUGAUUCCCUUUUUCCAAAAUUCUCCAUUUCCAUCUCUUUCUCAUUUGCACUCUGUAAUAUUCUGUGUCGAAAGGUUGCUUUUGGAAUCGAAUCCUUUUCUUGCGCAAAUUGAAUGUUCGCUGUAACUUUUUCAAAUUCUGCGUAAUUCUAAUUAAGUAGACUUUGCAUAAUUCUCCAACCUUUUCUUCUCUUUCUAUUUAAAGGCCAAAAGGCGCAAUAACGCAUUCACUCUGCGAUCAUUACCUUCUUAGCUUUGGUAAUUCCCCUUUUUUUUUUCUGGUUGUUAUCGCUAAUUUUCCUUUAUUUCAUUUUCAAGUUCUGCUGCAUUAGUAUUCGUAUUGGCUAUGAUUAUGAUUGUGUCUGCGAAGUGUGGUUGCAUUGGUCUCAGUUUGAAUGCUUAUUACUUCGUUGUUAUUGAACUUUUCUGUUGUGGAUUUUCAAAAUAUUGGGUGAUUGAUUUGAAGCGUGUUCUUUCUUUUCUGAACUCUCAUUUAUUUGAGAAUUGAAAGGAGCUUUUUGUUGCUUCUUUGUAUUGUUAAGAAAGUAAUAACUCACAAUUAAGGAACACAAAAUUGUUAGAUAAAUCCUCCUUUUUAUUUUUUAAUUAUUACUACUUCACUGGUAAACUUUGGCCCACUUCAUAAGACUUCAAUUCUUAACGACUAAGAAUUCUUUAAUGCUAAGAAUUCAAGGCACGACUAACAUAUAUAUCUGCCAUUGAAGAUCAUUGCAUUGACAGCAAACUGGGGACGCAGGGUAUUUCUUUGGUGUCCAAAGUCCAACCUAUUACGAUCAAGCGUCAAAUUUUGGACCGCCACCAUUGACGAGACAUGGCAUGCGUAUUGCUUCAACCCUUCCAUUUUUCCUUCAGCCUUCUGAAGAAUCACUGAUUAUAGGACCGUUGUUUUAGUUUGCUUUUAUAUAGCAAUUUCUUUUUAUUUUUCACGUAUUUUAAACCAUUUGCCACAUGUUUUCUUCUGAAAUCUAGCGAGUUUAUCUGUUAGCUGCAUUUCUCUUACUAAUUUUCUGCCUUUUUUGUGUACUUUCUAAAAAAUUCAGGUAUUUGAUGAAAAUAACCAGCAGACUGAUAUUGGCGCAGCUGUGCGCAAUGGGAGAGAAAUACUUUUGCAGGCUUUUAACUGGGAAUCUCACAAGUAUGAUUGGUGGAGAAAUUUGGAAAGGAAAGUUCCUGAUAUUGCAAAAUCUGGGUUUACUUCAGCAUGGUUGCCGCCGCCUACUCAGUCCAUUGCACCUGAAGGUUACCUUCCACAGAACCUUUAUUCUAUAAACUCUUCAUAUGGUUCUGAGCACCUGUUGAAGGCUUUACUUCAAAAAAUGAUACAGUAUAAAGUCAGAGCAAUGGCUGACAUUGUUAUCAAUCACCGUGCUGGGACUACACGAGGACAUGGAGGAAUGUAUAACCGUUAUGAUGGGAUUCCAUUAUCAUGGGACGAACGUGCUGUUACAUCUUGUUCUGGAGGACUGGGUAAUCGCAGCACAGGGGACAACUUCCACAUGGUUCCAAACAUUGAUCAUACCCAACAGUUUGUUCGAACAGAUAUUACAGCAUGGCUGCAGUGGCUUCGUAAUAAUGUUGGCUUCCAAGAUUUCCGUUUUGACUUUGCGAGAGGUUACUCACCCAAAUAUGUGAAAGAAUACAUUGAAGGGGCGAAACCAAUAUUUUCUGUUGGGGAGUACUGGGAUUCUUGUAACUACAGUGGCUUUUAUUUGGAAUACAACCAAGAUAGCCACAGACAACGGAUUAUCAAUUGGAUUGAUGGCACAGGGCAGCUCUCAACUGCAUUUGACUUCACUACAAAGGGAAUUCUUCAGGAAGCUGUUAAGGGACAAUUCUGGCGUCUGCGUGACUCUCAGGGGAAGCCACCAGGUGUAGUUGGAUGGUGGCCUUCAAGGGCUGUGACAUUCAUCGAUAACCAUGAUACAGGCUCAACGCAGGGCCAUUGGCCUUUCCCUUCAAAUCAUAUUAUGGAGGGUUAUGCAUACAUACUUACACAUCCAGGAAUUCCAACAGUUUUCUAUGACCAUGUUUAUGACUUGGGUGACUCCAUUCAUGACCAAAUUGUGAAACUGAUUGACAUUAGAAAACGCCAAGACAUCCAUAGUCGAUCAUCUAUCAGGAUUCUUGAAGCCCAGCCAAACCUCUAUUCCGCAAUUAUUGGGGAGAAAGUAUGCAUGAAAAUUGGGGAUGGUUCCUGGUGCCCAGCUGGCAGGGAAUGGACACUGGCAACCUCCGGCCAUCGAUAUGCUGUGUGGCAAAAUGAUGCCCCUUCAUAAUUAGUCACCAGUCAGUUUUGGUAAUCUAUUUCUGUGGACUUCUGUUUGGUAGAGGUCAUGUCUUGCAGCUGGUAUUACAAUAGUAACUAUUUUAUGAAUAAUUUUGCUAUUGUAUGAAUAAUUUGGGAUUAUCCAAGUUAUAUUAGAACUCCACGAAUCUUUGCUGCCGAUUUUUUUUUUAUUAGGAAAUAAAUGUUUUUUAAACUUUCCAUUUUGAAGUUUCCAGUGGUCCCACUUGGACUUUUCAUGUUCGCACCCGCGGGGGGUGGGGGAGCAGUGGAUAGCCGAUGGGAGAUAUGAUUCUCGAAGAUUACAAGUGACAAGAUCUCUAGAGGCUUCAGGCUAGUAAGCCUAUUGCCAUGACGGGCACAUUAGGCUUUGGUCAGUUCAAGUGGAGAAUUAUAGGAUAUUUCUGGAGUAUAAAGAAGAGUACUUCUUUCAUAGAAUGUGUGUGCUAUUUAUAAUAUAAAAAGUGAACCUCAAUAACUGAAUAUUUAUAUUUAGUUUAUUAAUCAUUAUUCAGUCUAAUUAAUCUUAAUAUAGAAAAUCAUAACACCAAUUCUUCUGUAAUACAAAAUCA
This 3071-nucleotide unclassified non-coding RNA is filed under the name Hevea brasiliensis (rubber tree). Lineage: Eukaryota; Viridiplantae; Streptophyta; Magnoliopsida; Malpighiales; Euphorbiaceae. The record is from RNAcentral.